GGUUCCCCUUACAUGCAUCUGAAGGAAUAGGACUCACGAAAGCAGAGAGUAGAGUGCCGGUUGCCGGCGGGGGCAGGAGGGAAAAUGAAGAGUUGCUGCACAGUGAAGAUAAGUUUCCAUCAUGCGAGAUGAUUAAGUUGUAGGUGUUCGCAGAACAGCCCUGUGCCUGUAGCGAACAAUAUUGUAUCGUGCACUUCAAAAUUUGUUAAAAGGGUAGAUCUCAUGUGUUCUACGACAGCAACAAAACAGGCAAACAAACAAAAUGAAAGAAGCACCAAAAAAAAGUUCACAGAAACAGAACUAAUGAAGAAUGCAAGCUGACUUAGCCUCAUUCAACAGCCCCUGUAUCUCUUGAAAUAAAGUCAAGCUUCUUUCAGAAUGUUCCAUGA
Molecule: long non-coding RNA, 389 nt
Organism: Suricata suricatta (meerkat)
Lineage: Eukaryota; Metazoa; Chordata; Mammalia; Carnivora; Herpestidae
Exons: 2
Source: RefSeq, a predicted model, not a curated record